UGGGCACGGGGGUCCUAGUCCCGAACCCGUCGGCUGCCGGUGCAUUGCUCGACCUGCUUUCGCGGUGAAAGCGGGUCGCCGCGUGCCGGCCGGGGGACGGACUGGGAACGGCUCCUUCGGGGGCCUUCCUCGGGCGACAAACAGUCGACUAAGAACUGGUACGGACAAGGGGAAUCCGACUGUUUAAUUAUAACAAAGCAUUGCGAUGGUCCCUGCGGAUGCUCA
RNAcentral lists this non-coding RNA (225 nucleotides) under Gossypium arboreum. Its description in RNAcentral is "Eukaryotic large subunit ribosomal RNA". It matches the Rfam family "Eukaryotic large subunit ribosomal RNA", at positions 1962 to 2184 of the family's 3401-position model. Lineage: Eukaryota; Viridiplantae; Streptophyta; Magnoliopsida; Malvales; Malvaceae. The record is from Rfam by way of RNAcentral.